Molecule: non-coding RNA, 595 nt
Organism: Xenopus tropicalis (tropical clawed frog)
Lineage: Eukaryota; Metazoa; Chordata; Amphibia; Anura; Pipidae
Source: the annotation of a RefSeq genome assembly
AGAGGGGAGUGGGUUGGGGUUUUGCAUAGAGACAGUGUGUGGCUAAACUGCAGCUGCUAUAAAAGUGCCAGUGUCCCUGUGCCAUAUUAAUGAUCUGUAUCUGUCACACAGUGCUACAUACACACAUGCCUUAUCCCACUUAUCUACUGCUGGGGCUGCUGCUGGGGGGCCCCCUGCUCUUUAGCCACGGUUCCUAUGGGCAGAUUGUGCUGACUCAGUCCCCAGAUUAUGUCUCUGUGUCACCGGGAGAAACUGUCACCUUCACAUGUAAAGCCAGUAGCCGUGUUGGCAACUUGUUAGCCUGGUACCAACAGAAAUCAGGGCAGGCACCAAAGCUGCUGAUCUAUAAUGCAAACACCCGACACACAGGGACCCCAGAGCGGAUCAGCGGCAGCCGCUCUGGAACUGAUUUCACCCUUACAAUCAGCAGAAUGGAAGCAGAAGAUGCAGGAGAUUAUUACUGCCAGCAGUAUUGGGAUCCCCCACUCACACAGUGAUACAGAGCUGAACAAAAACCUUCCUCUUUCAUAACUUUCAUGUCUUUGUUUUUGCUGAGAACAGACCUGUAUAACUGCAUCAAUGGGAAGAAUAGUGA